CCUACGGGUGGCAGCAGUCGAGACUCAUUCACAAUGGGGGAAACCCUGAUGGUGCGACGCCGCGUGGGGGAAUGAAGGUCUUCGGAUUGUAAACCCCUGUCAUGUGGGAGCAAAUUAAAAAGAUAGUACCACAAGAGGAAGAGACGGCUAACUCUGUGCCAGCCGCCGCGGUAAUACAGAGGUCUCAAGCGUUGUUCGGAAUCACUGGGCGUAAGGCGUGCGUAGGCUGUUUCGUAAGUCGUGUGUGAAAGGCGCGGGCUCAACCCGCGGACGGCACAUGAUACUGCGAGACUAGAGUAAUGGAGGGGGAACCGGAAUUCUCGGUGUAGCAGUGAAAUGCGUAGAUAUCGAGAGGAACACUCGUGGCGAAGGCGGGUUCCUGGACAUUAACUGACGCUGAGGCACGAAGGCCAGGGGAGCGAAAGGGAUUAGAUACCCGUGUAGUC
Molecule: ribosomal RNA, 446 nt
Filed under: uncultured bacterium
Lineage: Bacteria
Description: partial 16S ribosomal RNA
Rfam family: Bacterial small subunit ribosomal RNA
Source: RNAcentral